RNAcentral lists this ribosomal RNA (220 nucleotides) under uncultured bacterium. RNAcentral describes it as "partial 16S ribosomal RNA". It matches the Rfam family "Bacterial small subunit ribosomal RNA", at positions 28 to 245 of the family's 1533-position model. The record is from RNAcentral.
GACGAACGCUGGCGGCGUGCUUAACACAUGCAAGUCGAGCGGUAAGGCCCUUUCGGGGGUACGACGAGCGGCGAACGGGUGAGUAACACGUGGGUGACCUGCCCUCCAGCUCUGGGAGUAAGCCUGGGAAACGUGGGUCUAAUACUGGAUAUGACUCCACGGUGCAUGUCGUGGGGUGGAAAGCCUUGUGCGGCUGAGGAUGGGCCCGCGGCCUAUCAGC